Brassica oleracea var. oleracea is the source of this 649-nucleotide long non-coding RNA. RefSeq lists it as uncharacterized. NCBI's taxonomy places the organism in Eukaryota, Viridiplantae, Streptophyta, Magnoliopsida, Brassicales, Brassicaceae. The record is from RefSeq and is a predicted model, not a curated record. The transcript is spliced from 3 exons.
GUUAUUUAUCUUUUGUCUUGGCACUUAUUCAUACUCCAGGAAGAUCUUCAUUAAUGUAUGACAAUUCUUUGGAGAGGUGUGGCAAAAAAACAUCAUGCCAUCUGGAAAAAAAGGAGAUGGUUCACUCUAGGACUGCUUCUUACUAUUCUUAUUCUCUGAAGUGAUCCAUCUCUUUCAGCGUUUCUCCACGUCAAUAUCACGAUGGCUCUUCGACAUUGGGUUAAACAUGCUCCCACUUAUAGGAAGGAGAGGAUAGACCUAUGAUCAGAACCUUCAUACAUGAGGUAUUGGCUCUUUCAUGUGGGGAAGAGUUCUUACCAUUGUUAUUGCUAAUAGCCAUUUAAGACUGAUAUUUUACCAGGUGUGCAUUUCUUUUUCCCCUCCAUGAUAAAUAACUACCAAAGUGUAUUAGAUCAAAUAAAUCGUUUUGGGACAUAAAAGUUCUAAAAACACAAAAGGGGCCUUCUGCUCUGUCUGGUCCUUCCACCUUUCACUUUUAUCCACUAUCUCAUUUGAAGUCCUCCUUUAGAAACCAAGAACCUUUUGUAAUAGGAUUUAAGUCUUACAAUUUAUUCCAUAAUGCUAGCCUUUUAGAAUUAUCAGGUUUCCCAUAAACAUAGGCUGUACAGAAAUAUAUUCGUCUACUCGA